RNAcentral lists this ribosomal RNA (273 nucleotides) under uncultured bacterium. Its description in RNAcentral is "partial 16S rRNA". It matches the Rfam family "Bacterial small subunit ribosomal RNA", at positions 396 to 661 of the family's 1533-position model. The record is from RNAcentral.
GCCGCGUGGAUGAUGAAGGCUUCGGGUCGUAAAAUCCUGUCAGAUGGAAAGAAGUGCGAGAUGGUUAAUACCCAUUUCGUUUGACGGUACCAUCAGAGGAAGCACCGGCUAACUCCGUGCCAGCAGCCGCGGUAAUACGGAGGGUGCAAGCGUUGUUCGGAUUUACUGGGCGUAAAGCGCGCGUAGGCGGUUUGUUAAGUCAGAUGUGAAAGCCCAGGGCUCAACCCUGGACGUGCAUUUGAAACUGGCAGACUUGAGUAUUGGAGGGGGUGG